GAUCCUGCCAGAGGCCAUUGCUAUCGGAGUCCGAUUUAGCCAUGCUAGUCGUGCGAGUUCACACUCGCGGCAAAUAGCUCAGUAACACGUGGCCAAACUACCCUACAGAGACGCACAACCUCGGGAAACUGAGGCUAAUUCGUCAUACCCCUCUCACGCUGGAAUGCCAAGAGGCACAAACGCUCCCGCGCUGUAGGAUGUGGCUGCGGCCGAUUAGGUAAACGGUGGGGUAACGGCCCACCGUGCCCAUAAUCGGUACGGGUUGUGAGAGCAAGAGCCCGGAGACGGAAUCUGAGACAAGAUUCCGGGCCCUACGGGGCGCAGCAGGCGCGAAACCUUUACACUGCACGCACGUGCGAUAAGGGGACUCCGAGUGCGAGGGCAUAUCGUCCUCGCUUUUGUGUACCGUAGGGCGGGGCACGAACAAAAGCUGGGCAAGACCGGUGCCAGCCGCCGCGGUAAUACCGGCAGCUCAAGUGAUGGGCGAUCUUAUUGGGCCUAAAGCGUCCGUAGCUGGCCUUGAAAGUCCGUCGGGAAAUCACACGCCCAACGUGUGGGCG
Molecule: ribosomal RNA, 560 nt
Filed under: uncultured haloarchaeon
Lineage: Archaea; Methanobacteriati; Methanobacteriota; Halobacteria; Halobacteriales; Halobacteriaceae
Description: bacterial SSU rRNA
Rfam family: Archaeal small subunit ribosomal RNA
Source: RNAcentral